GUUCUGCGGGGCUAUGCGUAGCGUUCCCUCGUUCCUCUCCGGCGGUAGUUACUCUCAUGGGUACUCCGGAAAUUCCUCGGGGUCCUCUCGGCACCUUGCUAUCUGUGGAUAAAUGACCUGGCAGGCCCCUUCCCCCUGUCAUUGUGCAAUGCGUCCUCUCUGAGCAAAGGGGAUGGGAACUCUGCUCUUAUUAGUCUCUCUGCGAUGGUCCUGUCUUUCCUCCAUGCUAUCAUGGGGGGAGGUCCUUUUACCCUGGCCUCCCAUGGUGUGUCCCUGGCCUUCUCUUGUGUCCAUUCCCAGAUUCUGUUGAUCGACUCGCGCAGCUGAUUUGCUAUGUUCUGGGAAUAAAGCAUGGGGAAAAUUAAUCUGUUUAAUUCACCUUUCUGUUUCACGUCUAGGAGUGUAUCUCUUGGGAUAUCUUCUAGUCUUGCCAUUGCCGCAUUGAGGAUCUUCUCGCUGUAUCCUCGCGCUCUGAAAAAACCUACCAUUUCCUUCAGUGCCUUCUCCAGGUGUUCAGGGGUGCUUACAAUCCUUUUAACCCUGAUUCCUUGUGAGAAAGGGAGGCUUUUCUUUAGAUUUGGGUGGUGGCUCGACUGGAAGUGUAAAUAUUGAUCCGGGUGGAACUGGUUGAGGUCUCUGUAGUAUUCUUGAAGUUCUUCCUCUGUGCCCUGGAACACUCCAAAUAUAUCAUCAAUAUAUCUAUAAAAUAAGAGCGGUUGUUUUUUCAUUUUCUUCCUUUUAGGUUCUAUACUCACAUGUACAAAAAUCUCUGCCACUGCCACUGAUACUGAGGCUCCUAUUGCCGUACCUUUCAUUUGUUGGUAGUACUUAUUAUCGAACCUCAGUAAUGUCCCGGUAAGGAUGUGCUCAAUGCCUUCCUGUAUUAGGUAUGGGGGAGGGGCCUUUAUAUUGUACAUGUCUUUCAACCGACCUUGUAUGUACCCAAAAUUCUUUUCAUAAAAAUUCGCCACUACCCAGGCUGCCUCUUCCUGUGGGAUAGAAGGAUAUAAAGACACAAU
This is a long non-coding RNA of Penaeus monodon (black tiger shrimp), 1019 nucleotides long. RefSeq lists it as uncharacterized. NCBI's taxonomy places the organism in Eukaryota, Metazoa, Arthropoda, Malacostraca, Decapoda, Penaeidae. The transcript has 2 exons. The record is from RefSeq and is a predicted model, not a curated record.